UAAAACUUAGUUAAAAUAUAACAUUAGUUUGUCACGCUAAAAUUAUUGAUAGCCCCCUUAGUUUUA
RNAcentral lists this transfer RNA (66 nucleotides) under Oomorphoides metallicus. RNAcentral describes it as "tRNA-Asp". The record is from RNAcentral. Lineage: Eukaryota; Metazoa; Arthropoda; Insecta; Coleoptera; Chrysomelidae.